Molecule: ribosomal RNA, 117 nt
Organism: Clostridium amylolyticum
Lineage: Bacteria; Bacillati; Bacillota; Clostridia; Eubacteriales; Clostridiaceae
Source: Rfam
UCUGGUGAUAAUGCCAUGAAGGUAACACCCGUUCCCAUUCCGAACACGAAGGUUAAGCUUCAUAGGGCCAAUGGUACUGCAUGGGAGACUGUGUGGGAGAGUAGGACGUCGCCAGGU